UACGUUGUCUUGAGUUUCAUG
RNAcentral lists this non-coding RNA (21 nucleotides) under Caenorhabditis elegans. Lineage: Eukaryota; Metazoa; Nematoda; Chromadorea; Rhabditida; Rhabditidae. The record is from RNAcentral.